Molecule: ribosomal RNA, 376 nt
Filed under: uncultured organism
Description: partial 16S ribosomal RNA
Rfam family: Bacterial small subunit ribosomal RNA
Source: RNAcentral
GUAGGUGGCAAGCGUUGUCCGGAAUUAUUGGGGCGUAAAGCGCGCGCAGGUGGUUCUUUAAGUCUGAUGUGAAAGCCCCCCGGGCUCAACCGGGGGAGGGUCAUUGGAGACUGGGGAACUUGAGUGCAGGAGAGGAAAGUGGAAUUCCACGUGUAGCGGUGAAAUGCGUAGACAUGUGGAGGAACACCAGUGGCGAAGGCGACUUUCUGGCCUGUAACUGACACUGAGGCGCGAAAGCGUGGGGAGCAAACAGGAUUAGAUACCCUGGUAGUCCACGCCGUAAACGAUGAGUGCUAAGUGUUGGGGGGUUUCCGCCCCUCAGUGCUGCAGCUAACGCAUUAAGCACUCCGCCUGGGGAGUACGGUCGCAAAGACUG